GUUUAGAUAAUUGUAUGGUACAUAAUGUUGUUCUGAUUAUGGAUUUAGUUGCUACAGCUGCAGUUGCUUAUGUUCACUGAAUCAGUUUCAUAUUUACAUAAUAGUUAAACAUACAGACGUGUUUACCAAAAGUAAUAAAAAAAGAGAAAGAAAAAUGCGAAGAAAACUUUGCACUACUAAAUGUACUGCAUUGGAAGGGAAAUCAGAAUGUUAACUAUACAAAAGACAACAUUUAACCAUGACAAUCAUGAAAGAAAAGCUAAUCAGAAAAAGCUUCAUCACGGAAACACAAAUAACUGAGCA
Molecule: long non-coding RNA, 303 nt
Filed under: Mytilus galloprovincialis (Mediterranean mussel)
Lineage: Eukaryota; Metazoa; Mollusca; Bivalvia; Mytilida; Mytilidae
Source: RNAcentral